AGCGAACGCUGGCGGCAGGCUUAACACAUGCAAGUCGAGCGGGCCUUUCGGGGUCAGCGGCGGACGGGUGAGUAACGCGUGGGAACGUGCCCUCUGGUUCGGAAUAACUCAGGGAAACUUGAGCUAAUACCGGAUACGCCCUUGUGGGGAAAGGCUUGCUGCCGGAGGAUCGGCCCGCGUCUGAUUAGCUAGUUGGUGAGGUAACGGCUCACCAAGGCGACGAUCAGUAGCUGGUCUGAGAGGAUGAUCAGCCACACUGGGGCUGAGACACGGCCCAGACUCCUACGGGAGGCAGCAGUGGGGAAUAUUGGACAAUGGGCGCAAGCCUGAUCCAGCCAUGCCGCGUGAGUGAUGAAGGCCUUAGGGUUGUAAAGCUCUUUUAUCCGGGACGAUAAUGACGGUACCGGAGGAAUAAGCCCCGGCUAACUUCGUG
This 433-nucleotide ribosomal RNA is filed under the name uncultured bacterium. Its description in RNAcentral is "partial 16S ribosomal RNA". It matches the Rfam family "Bacterial small subunit ribosomal RNA", at positions 29 to 507 of the family's 1533-position model. The record is from RNAcentral.